GACGAACGCUGGCGGCGUGCUUAACACAUGCAAGUCGAACGCUGAAGCUCAGCUUUUGUUGGGUGGAUGAGUGGCGAACGGGUGAGUAACACGUGAGUAACCUGCCCCCUUCUUUGGGAUAACGCCCGGAAACGGGUGCUAAUACUGGAUAUUCACUGGUCUACGCAUGGGGGUUGGUGGAAAGGGUUUUUCUGGUGGGGGAUGGGCUCGCGGCCUAUCAGCUUGUUGGUGGGGUGAUGGCCUACCAAGGCUUUGACGGGUAGCCGGCCUGAGAGGGUGACCGGUCACAUUGGGACUGAGAUACGGCCCAGACUCCUACGGGAGGCAGCAGUGGGGAAUAUUGCACAAUGGGCGCAAGCCUGAUGCAGCGACGCCGCGUGAGGGAUGGAGGCCUUCGGGUUGUGAACCUCUUUCGCUCAUGGUCAAGCCGCAACAAUGGUUGUGGUGAGGGUAGUGGGUAAAGAAGCGCCGGCUAACUACGUG
Molecule: ribosomal RNA, 483 nt
Filed under: uncultured bacterium
Lineage: Bacteria
Description: partial 16S ribosomal RNA
Rfam family: Bacterial small subunit ribosomal RNA
Source: RNAcentral